RNAcentral lists this ribosomal RNA (426 nucleotides) under uncultured bacterium. RNAcentral describes it as "bacterial SSU rRNA". It matches the Rfam family "Bacterial small subunit ribosomal RNA", at positions 359 to 776 of the family's 1533-position model. The record is from RNAcentral.
GAAUUUUGGGCAAUGGGCGAAAGCCUGACCCAGCAACGCCGCGUGAGGGAUGAAGGCCUUCGGGUCGUAAACCUCUGUCGGGAGAGACGAAAGGCGCGCGGGUGAACAAUCCGCGUACUUGACGGUACCUCCAAAGGAAGCCCCGGCUACCUCCGUGCCCGCAGCCGCGGUAAUACGGAGGGCGCAAGCGUUGUUCGGAAUUACUGGGCGUAAAGCGCGUGUAGGCGGCCAGGUAAGUCGGAUGUGAAAUCCCGGGGCCCAACCCCGGAACUGCACCCGAUACUGCCCGGCUGGAGUCCCGGAGAGGAUGGCGGAAUUUCCGGUGUAGAGGUGAAAUUCGUAGAUAUCGGAAGGAACACCAGUGGCGAAGGCGGCCAUCUGGACGGUGACUGACGCUGAGACGCGAAAGCGUGGGGAGCAAACAGG